UAGGGAAUCUUCCACAAUGGGCGAAAGCCUGAUGGAGCAACGCCGCGUGUGUGAUGAAGGGUUUCGGCUCGUAAAACACUGUUGUAAGAGAAGAAUGACAUUGAGAGUAACUAUUCAAUGCGUGACGGUAUCUUACCAGAAAGGAACGGCUAAAUACGUGCCAG
This 164-nucleotide ribosomal RNA is filed under the name uncultured bacterium. RNAcentral describes it as "partial 16S rRNA". It matches the Rfam family "Bacterial small subunit ribosomal RNA", at positions 355 to 511 of the family's 1533-position model. The record is from RNAcentral.